This 577-nucleotide ribosomal RNA is filed under the name uncultured bacterium. RNAcentral describes it as "bacterial SSU rRNA". It matches the Rfam family "Bacterial small subunit ribosomal RNA", at positions 102 to 670 of the family's 1533-position model. The record is from RNAcentral.
ACGGGUGAGUAACACGUAGGCAACCUGCCCUCAAGCUUGGGACAACUACCGGAAACGGUAGCUAAUACCGAAUACUUGUUUUCUUCGCCUGAAGAGAACUGGAAAGACGGAGCAAUCUGUCACUUGGGGAUGGGCCUGCGGCGCAUUAGCUAGUUGGUGAGGUAAUGGCUCACCAAGGCGACGAUGCGUAGCCGACCUGAGAGGGUGAUCGGCCACACUGGGACUGAGACACGGCCCAGACUCCUACGGGAGGCAGCAGUAGGGAAUCUUCCGCAAUGGGCGAAAGCCUGACGGAGCAAUGCCGCGUGAGUGAUGAAGGUUUUCGGAUCGUAAAGCUCUGUUGCCAGGGAAGAACGCUUGAGAGAGUAACUGCUCUCAAGGUGACGGUACCUGAGAAGAAAGCCCCGGCUAACUACGUGCCAGCAGCCGCGGUAAUACGUAGGGGCAAGCGUUGUCCGGAAUUAUUGGGCGUAAAGCGCGCGCAAGCGGUCAUGUAGUCUGGUGUUUAAUCCCGGGGCUCAACCCCGAUCGCACUGGAAACUGUGUGACUUGAGUGCAGAAGAGAGAGUGGAAUUCC